GCAUCUUCUCCUUAGGUCAUAAGAAAAUAUAACUAAAAUUUUGUAUAAUUUAUAUAUAAUGUUAUAAGAUGUAUUAUUAUAAUGGAUAAUAUUGUUUCUUUUAUAAUAAUAUAUAAUGUGAUAUUAUGUAGUAAUAAUAAUAAUAACCUAUGUUAGAUUGUUAUAUAUUAUUAUAUUAUUAUAUUAUAUUUUGUAUAACUCAAUGUUAUAUUGCAUUUGCUUAUUAUUUUCUAAUUUUUUAUUUUAAAACAUUUGAAUAAAAUAUUCUAUAUAUUUAUAAUUAACCAACUAAAUUAUUUUAAUAUGAAAAUAUAUUCAUUUAUAAUAAUCUAGUCUAAUAAAUGAACACAAAUAUUUAUAAAGUAUAUAAUAUUUACUUUCAAAUAUAUAUAUAUAAAAUAAUAUUUUAAAUUUAGGCAUACUUCAAAUAAUUAGUCUAAUAAAUAAGUUUUAAAGAACAUGUUUAUGCCCUACUACACUUGUAAAUAUUGGGGAAAUAUUGUAAAUUAAUUAAAAUGAUAUCAUGAUUUAUUGUAAUUUUAAAAUUAGAAAAUAUAUUAAUAUCACUUAUACCAUAAAUCAUCCAAUUUUUAUUUAUUUGUUACUUGUGUCAUGGGCUUGACUGCCUCAUGUUCUCCCCACAUUGGUGACCUUUUAAAAAAAAUAAAAAAUAAAAAAUAUUUUAAUGUUACAUUUUCAAUUCCUAGAUGUUUCUAAAUUAAUCUUUCAUUUUUGAAAAACAAAAAAAAAAAAAAGAAAAAAACCAUUUAAAAAUUUAGGCAUUCAAAUUAUAGAAUGUGAAGCCAAGUCUUUUUCAACAAAUUAUGGGUUAUAUAUAUGUUUGGAAAAUUUUAAAAUUUUAAGAAAACUAUUUAAAGCAAAAAAUAUAAGAUUUAUUUUCAUUAAAACAUGUUCUUAACUUAGUCUCUAUUUAGAUUAAUUUUUGAAGUUUUAAAAGUUUUAUUUUUUAACUCAAUGAGAGUUUUUAUAUUUGUAACUAAUUUUGCUCCAGGAAUCCCAACGUAGAGUAGGAAAAGGGUGUUCGAAAAUUUAGAAUAUUUCUUUAAAAACGAUGUCGUUUUUAUAAUCCGACGUGUCUAAAGCCCGCAUCCGCAUUAACUCACGUAGACCCGCGUCGACCCACGUUAUAACCCUAACCCUACGCACUGUCUACUAUAUAAACGCAAAGAUAAACCGCCGAGGCCCUUCCAGCGGCGACUGCGGGGAAGAGAAAAGGAGAGGAGCGAAGAUGCAGAUUUUCGUGAAGACCCUAACGGGGAAGACCAUAACCCUAGAGGUUGAAUCAUCUGACACGAUCGAUAAUGUCAAGGCCAAGAUCCAAGACAAGGAAGGCAUCCCGCCGGACCAGCAGCGCCUCAUCUUCGCUGGCAAACAGCUGGAGGACGGCCGAACCCUAGCCGACUACAAUAUCCAGAAGGAGUCAACCCUCCACCUGGUGCUUCGCCUCCGUGGUGGCGCCAAGAAGCGCAAGAAGAAGACCUACACCAAGCCCAAGAAGAUCAAGCACAAAAAGAAGAAGGUCAAGCUCGCUGUUUUGCAGUUCUACAAGGUUGAUGAUUCCGGAAAGGUUCAGAGGUUGAGAAAGGAGUGCCCUAAUUCUGAGUGCGGUGCGGGUACCUUCAUGGCCAAUCAUUUUGAUAGGCACUAUUGUGGCAAGUGCGGCCUCACCUAUGUUUACCAGAAGGCUGGCGGAGAUUAGGGUUUAUAACUUGAACUACUUCUUCUAGUUUCUGUUAUGCGUUUCUGUUUUGUAGAAUUUCAGAGUU
This 1787-nucleotide long non-coding RNA is filed under the name Vitis vinifera (wine grape). RNAcentral describes it as "long non-coding RNA (VVIN_LNC005804)". The record is from RNAcentral. Lineage: Eukaryota; Viridiplantae; Streptophyta; Magnoliopsida; Vitales; Vitaceae.